AUUGAACGCUGGCGGCAGGCCUAACACAUGCAAGUCGAACGAGUGGCGGACGGGUGAGUAAUGUCUGGGAAACUGCCUGAUGGAGGGGGAUAACUACUGGAAACGGUAGCUAAUACCGCAUACCAUCGGAUGUGCCCAGAUGGGAUUAGCUAGUAGGUGGGGUAAAGGCUCACCUAGGCGACGAUCCCUAGCUGGUCUGAGAGGAGGACCAGCCAAGCUGAAAAUGAGACACGGUCAAGACUCCUAUGGGAGGCAGAAGUGGGGAAUAUUGCACAAUGGGCGAAAGCCUGAUGCAGCCAGGCCGCGUGUAUGAAGAAGGCAUUCGGGUGGUAAAGUAAUUUCAGCGGGGAGGCGUUACCCGAAGAAGAAGCACCGGCUAACUCCGUGCCAGCAGCCGCGGUAAUAC
Molecule: ribosomal RNA, 406 nt
Filed under: uncultured bacterium
Lineage: Bacteria
Description: partial 16S ribosomal RNA
Rfam family: Bacterial small subunit ribosomal RNA
Source: RNAcentral